CGGAGGCGGGUUCUGGACAGACCUACGCUGUCGGGGAGUGUUUACUUCGCCUCCACUUCUGUUCCUCCCCGCCCUGGUGCUGCUCCAGGUCACAUACUCUUCCUGAGCCGGCUUCAGCCUCUCCGCGCAGAAGUCUCCCGGAGCCAUGGCCUAGUAUUCUUAUGUGAAGUCUACCAAGCUUGUGCUCAAGGGAACCGAGGUGAAGAGCUGGGUCCUGCAGCUCCGGCGGGAGCCUCCUCAGUUCUUUUCGGACGCACUCCACCCCCGCGAAUCCGGUGGAAGCCGUGAUGCGGAGAGCCGGCUUCGUGGCCUCCCAGGCUUCGCUCUGACCCUGUCUGGGCUGGAUGGAGGCCGGACCGCCCUUCCUGGCGCCUGUGCAGAGAGGGGCAGCCUCCUGCGCGGACGACCCUGGAAACAGGAUAGACGGGCGGGUGACCCGUGACCCCGUACCCACGAGUUUGGGUCCCUUGAGGCAUCUCUCCAGGCCUCUGCCUGAUUUGCCUGAGGUUGACUGUACAUGCAAAUAUUGAGCUUUCCUCCUGGCCUCCGUGAUAAACAGAAGUUUUGAUAUUGUUAGGCGAGAUGGAAAGAAAGUAUCAAGGAGUGAGCUGAAGCCACUGCCCUUGAGAACCCUCUCGAGGAGUCUGGCCUCAUGAAGAUGCCAGAAUAAAUGGCAGUAAGAAGAAAAAGAGCAAAGAUAAGAAGAGAAAAAGAGAAGAUGAAGAAACCCAGCUUGAUAUGUUGAGGAACGCAGCUGCUCACCAGCAACGGAACAAAGCUGGACGGAGAAUGACUUUGAAGAGCUGAGAGAAGGCUUCAGACGAUCAAAUUACUCUGAGCUACGGGAGGACAUUCAAACCAAAGGCAAAGAAGUUGAAAACUUUGAAAAAAAUAAAUGUACAUUAAUUAACGUGGAAUCUGGUGAACAGUAACAAACUUUGGUGAAAUUUCAGGAACCAUAGCCAUUGAAGUGGAUGAGGGAACCUAUAUACAUGCACUCAACAAUGGUCUUUUUACCCUGGGAGCUCCACACAAAGAAGAAUCGCCCUGAAACCUGGCUAUGGAAAAUAUCUUAGUAUAAAUUCAGAUGAACUUGUUGUUGGCGUUCAGAUGCAAUUGGACCAAGAGAACAAUGGGAACCAGUCUUUCAAAAUGAUGGCCAUCCAGUAAUGAGAAUGAACAGUCUCCAACUAAAGGCAACAAUAUAGAUGAAUCUCGGAAACAUGAUAUUGACCAGACAGAAAAGAUUCCACUUACAUAAACUUCAAAAGAAGAUAAAACUGAUCUAUGACAUUAAUAGUCAGAAUAUUCAUUAUCCUUGAGGGAACUAAACUGGGAAGCCACAUGAUAGGGCAUCUGGAAGCUAGUAAUGUCCUCUUUCUUGAUCUGUUACAUUGGUGUGUUUAUUUCAUUAGAUUUAUUGAGCUAUACAUUUACCACCGUGUACUUGUCUCUGUAUAUGUUUUGCAUUGAAAUAAAUUUUACCAAUAAAAUGAUAAAGCAAAAU
This 1507-nucleotide long non-coding RNA is filed under the name Homo sapiens (human). RNAcentral's name for it is "long non-coding RNA NONHSAT131633.2". Lineage: Eukaryota; Metazoa; Chordata; Mammalia; Primates; Hominidae. The record is from RNAcentral.